This 789-nucleotide ribosomal RNA is filed under the name uncultured bacterium. Its description in RNAcentral is "bacterial SSU rRNA". It matches the Rfam family "Bacterial small subunit ribosomal RNA", at positions 8 to 796 of the family's 1533-position model. The record is from RNAcentral.
AGAGUUUGAUCCUGGCUCAGAUUGAACGCUGGCGGCAUGCUUUACACAUGCAAGUCGAACGGCAGCGCGGGGCAACCUGGCGGCGAGUGGCGAACGGGUGAGUAAUACAUCGGAACGUACCCAGAAGUGGGGGAUAACGUAGCGAAAGUUACGCUAAUACCGCAUACGUUCUACGGAAGAAAGUGGGGGACCUUCGGGCCUCAUGCUUUUGGAGCGGCCGAUGUCUGAUUAGCUAGUUGGUGAGGUAAAGGCUCACCAAGGCGACGAUCAGUAGCUGGUCUGAGAGGACGACCAGCCACACUGGGACUGAGACACGGCCCAGACUCCUACGGGAGGCAGCAGUGGGGAAUUUUGGACAAUGGGCGCAAGCCUGAUCCAGCAAUGCCGCGUGAGUGAAGAAGGCCUUCGGGUUGUAAAGCUCUUUUGUCAGGGAAGAAACGGCUGAGGCUAAUACCUUCGGCUAAUGACGGUACCUGAAGAAUAAGCACCGGCUAACUACGUGCCAGCAGCCGCGGUAAUACGUAGGGUGCAAGCGUUAAUCGGAAUUACUGGGCGUAAAGCGUGCGCAGGCGGUUUUGUAAGUCUGUCGUGAAAGCCCCGGGCUCAACCUGGGAAUUGCGAUGGAGACUGCAAGGCUUGAAUCUGGCAGAGGGGGGUAGAAUUCCACGUAGCAGUGAAAUGCGUAGAGAUGUGGAGGAACACCGAUGGCGAAGGCAGCCCCCUGGGUCAAGAUUGACGCUCAUGCACGAAAGCGUGGGGAGCAAACAGGAUUAGAUACCCUAGUAGUCC